AGUUCUCGUUUUGAAAUGUCAAAUUAAGUCUUACAUCGAGCAAGACCCCCACCCCUUGUUUUUAUUCCCGUCUCCUGAGGGGGGGCACUCUAAGGAGACUGCCGCUGUAAAACGGAAGGAAGAGUGGGGACGACGCCAAUUCAUCUUGCCCCUUACGCCCAGGGCUCCCCCCGUUUUCCAAUGCAGGGUCCAAAGGGUUGCGACCCCGAGAGGGGGAGCCAAUCCCUCAAACCCUGUCGUAGUCCGGUUCGAAGUCUGCAACUCGCCCUCCGUGAAGUACGGAUUCGCUAGUAAUCGGGA
RNAcentral lists this ribosomal RNA (300 nucleotides) under uncultured archaeon. Its description in RNAcentral is "partial 16S ribosomal RNA". It matches the Rfam family "Bacterial small subunit ribosomal RNA", at positions 1057 to 1347 of the family's 1533-position model. The record is from RNAcentral.